GGUAUUGCCUUAGUAACGGCGAGUGAAGCGGCAACAGCUCAAAUUUGAAAUCUGGCCCUCGGGUCCGAAUUGUAAUUUGUAGAGGAUGCUUUUGGUGCGGUGCCUUCCGAGUUCCCUGGAACGGGACGCCAGAGAGGGUGAGAGCCCCGUACGGUUGGACACCUACCCUAUAUAUAGCUCCUUCGACGAGUCGAGUAGUUUGGGAAUGCUGCUCUAAAUGGGAGGUAAAUUUCUUCUAAAGCUAAAUACCGGCCAGAGACCGAUAGCGCACAAGUAGAGUGAUCGAAAGAUGAAAAGCACUUUGAAAAGAGGGUUAAAUAGCACGUGAAAUUGUUGAAAGGGAAGCGUUUGUGACCAGACUUUUUCUUAGUGGAUCAUCCGGUGUUCUCACCGGUGCACUUCACUGGGUUUAGGCCAGCAUCGGUUUCCGGAGGGGGACAAAAGCAUGGGGAAUGUGGCUCUUUCGGGAGUGUUAUAGCCCCUAGCAUAAUACCUCUCCUGGGGACCGAGGACCGCGCUUCGGCAAGGAUGCUGGCGUAAUGGUUAUCAACGACCCGUCUUGAAACACGGACCAAGGAGUCGAACAUUUGUGCGAGUGUUUGGGUAUCAAACCCUCACGCGUAAUGAAAGUGAACGGAGGUGAGAGCCCCUCGGGGUGCAUCAUCGACCGAUCCUGAUGUCUUCGGAUGGAUUUGAGUAAGAGCAUAACUGUUCGGACCCGAAAGAUGGUGAACUAUGCGUGGAUAGGGUGAAGCCAGAGGAAACUCUGGUGGAGGCUCGCAGCGGUUCUGACGUGCAAAUCGAUCGUCAAAUCUGCGCAUGGGGGCGAAAGACUAUCGAGCAUCUAGCUUCG
RNAcentral lists this ribosomal RNA (853 nucleotides) under Hypoxylon perforatum. RNAcentral's name for it is "partial large subunit ribosomal RNA". It matches the Rfam family "Eukaryotic large subunit ribosomal RNA", at positions 71 to 952 of the family's 3401-position model. The record is from RNAcentral. Lineage: Eukaryota; Fungi; Ascomycota; Sordariomycetes; Xylariales; Hypoxylaceae.